GACGAACCGUACGAACGUUAUUCGGAAUUACUGGGCUUAAAGGGUGCGUAGGCGGCGCAGUAAGUUGGGUGUGAAAUCCCUCGGCUUAACCGAGGAAUUGCGCCCAAAACUACUGUGCUCGAGGGAGAUAGAGGUGAGCGGAACUUAGGGUGGAGCGGUGAAAUGCGUUGAUAUCCUAAGGAACACCGGUGGCGAAAGCGGCUCACUGGAUCUCUUCUGACGCUGAGGCACGAAAGCUAGGGUAGCGAACGGG
Molecule: ribosomal RNA, 253 nt
Filed under: uncultured bacterium
Lineage: Bacteria
Description: partial 16S ribosomal RNA
Rfam family: Bacterial small subunit ribosomal RNA
Source: RNAcentral